AAUAAUUUCCCUCCUGCAUCAGACAAAUGAUUGCUUACCAACAGGUGAAGUUGUUGUAUAAUGGUAUCAACAAGUUCGAGAAUCAAUGAGUGGACUAUUAUUUACAGCUUUGUAUUGACAUUUACAUAUCUAUAAAUAUUUACAAUGUACCCAUAAUGUGACUUGCACAUAAGUUUAGUUUCUGGUUUUGCUCCACCUUGUAGAUGACUGAAAGGAGUACCGGUAAUGAACAAGAUAGUUCAAAUUGAACAGGUUACUCCAUCUUACUAAUCUAACCAAUUGUAACUGGAUUGGAUUCUACAAAGUGCACCAGCCAAAAGGACCGACUAAGCUAAAGAUUUGCAAGAGUCUUUCAUCCCAUAUAUACCAGCUUUAUUCAUUAAAGUAUACCUGGGACUGCACCUUUAAUCCUACUUGUAAGCCUGGAAAGUUAUUUAAAAAAAGUUUCAGAAAUAUAUACUGCUUUUAUUUUUAACGUUACCAAUAUUCUGCCAACUCAACCUUGCUAUACCUAGCCAAAAUUAUAAAACACAUAUGUCAUACUGUACAUAUAGAUCAUUAUCUCAAUCAAUCACACUUUCUUUAUUGGUAAGGUCACAAAAUUGAAAUUAAGAAUGCACUGUUGACUAUAAGGUUUGUUACACACAUCUGUCAUGGGUUCAGACACU
This is a long non-coding RNA of Patella vulgata (common limpet), 668 nucleotides long. RefSeq lists it as uncharacterized. The transcript is spliced from 3 exons. NCBI's taxonomy places the organism in Eukaryota, Metazoa, Mollusca, Gastropoda, Patellidae. The record is from RefSeq and is a predicted model, not a curated record.